This 54-nucleotide small RNA is filed under the name Vibrio cholerae O1 biovar El Tor str. N16961. Lineage: Bacteria; Pseudomonadati; Pseudomonadota; Gammaproteobacteria; Vibrionales; Vibrionaceae. The record is from RNAcentral.
GGCGUUGAGCAGUUGAUAGCUGAUGAAGUGUUCGCCCUGCUGCGCGCUCCAGAA